This 96-nucleotide ribosomal RNA is filed under the name Acanthosepion pharaonis. The record is from RNAcentral. Lineage: Eukaryota; Metazoa; Mollusca; Cephalopoda; Sepiida; Sepiidae.
UUGAAGGACCAGUUCCCGUACGAUCAUCGAAGUUAAGCAACGUCGAGCCUGAUCAGUACCUAGAUGGGUGACCGCUUGGGAAUGCCAGGUACAGUA